CAGAGAGGUACUGGAUCUGGCCGAAUGGGUUCUGGAACAAAACAGUCCAAAACGGAGAGGUGCCGGAUCCUGUUCUGGCAAGAUCCUGCUCAAAUUAAGCACUGGUGGUAGGCUAUGUAUUGUACAAGGAUACAAUCAUUUUUAUUCCUUUUUUUUUUUUUAACACUUGGGCUCGUAAGUCUAUGCAUAUAGAAUCCUUAAUAUGCAUAUGGGUGUUUUGAAUUAAUCAUCACCUUGACAGCUGUCUAUUUCGUUGUGCUAGGUUUGGAAAUUUUAACAAUUACCGUGUUUUACUCUGUUUCAACCUUCUAAUCAUCACAGUGAGGGGAGUUUUAAAAGCAUGAUACUGUUUUGAUGAUAAGUGUUUGAUGUGAUUUUAGAUUGUAUUUGCAUUGAUGUCCGAGUGGUUAGAGGAACAAUAAAGCCCUGAGUACCAGGCCAUAGGACCUGAUUGGUCAUUAGCAAAUGACAUACUACCAAAGCAUGUCCAGAGUGCAUAACAGGGGAUUACAUGGUCACAUGGAAUUUUACUGCGGACAUGACUUAUGAUUGACAGACUGAUGGUCUUUCUGCAAUCUGGUGCAGUAAUGCUUAUUUCUGGACACAGUCCCUCCUUUAACUCUAUCUUGCUUCACUCCUCUUCUCACUCUCUCUAAUUUUUCUCCUUUUACUUUGUCCAAUUUCCAUCCUGUUAUCCUCUUGCACCCAUCUGUCCUUUCCUUUCCCUCUCCUCUCCUUUCUCAGUUGUACUUGCUCAACUUCUGCAUCCUCUCUCCUCCGUCCUCUCUCGCCCUUGAUUCGAAAAAGGUCAAAGGAAAUCCAGGAGAGGCGGCCAGUAGAAGGAAUGUGGACGGAAAUGUGCUUGUAUGAAAUGACACUCCACUCCACUUGCACAAAUUACAUGUACGUGGUGAAAUAACAAAAUAAAUGUCAUAAAACAAAUGUAGCUAGUUGUUGAAGACAUUUUAUAGAUAAAAGAAUAAGUAGCAUAUCGUUUGCAUGAUUUUCUCCUUCGAGAACACAAUUCUUCAAAGGACUCAGAUAGGAUACACAUGACUAUCCUCGAUGAAAGGUGGCUAUCGAAGAGGGGAGGACACUCUUCCAACUAAAAAAUGUACAUUCUCCUCCACCACUUAUCGGUUUCUGGGUCAAGGAGGAGAGAGGAUGAAGGACGGACUUUUGGCCAAAUGAAAAAAGGCCCUAAUGUUAGACAUCUGAUGAUCCAAAAAGGCAAGAGGCCUGUAUAUUGCAGAGAUAAUUCUUAGUAAACUAUACAGGCCUACAAACAUUUAGAGGCAAGAGCAGAUCAUAACAUUAGGUUGCAGCAGACCGCAUAACAUUAGGUUGCAUCAGAUCAGCAUAACAUUUAGGUUGCAUCAGUUCAGCAUAACAUUAGGUUGCAGCAGAUCAUAACAUUAGGUUGCAUCAGACAGCAUAACAUUUAGGUUGCAUCAGUUGAGCAUAACAUUAGGUUGCAGCAGAUCAUAACAUUAGGUUGCAUCAGAUCAGCAUAACAUUAGGUUGCAUCAGAUCAGAAUAACAUUAGGUUGCAUCAAUUCAGCAUAACAUUAGGUUGCAGCAGAUCAUAACAUUAGGUUGCAGCAGAUC
RNAcentral lists this long non-coding RNA (1608 nucleotides) under Salmo salar (Atlantic salmon). RNAcentral's name for it is "lncRNA (ENSSSAG00000113808.1, ENSSSAG00000114798.1)". Lineage: Eukaryota; Metazoa; Chordata; Actinopteri; Salmoniformes; Salmonidae. The record is from RNAcentral.